GCGGACCUGCCCAGAGCAGGGAGGUGUCGUGG
Molecule: non-coding RNA, 32 nt
Filed under: Homo sapiens (human)
Lineage: Eukaryota; Metazoa; Chordata; Mammalia; Primates; Hominidae
Source: RNAcentral